UACAGAGGUCUCGAGCGUUGUUCGGAUUCAUUGGGCGUAAAGGGUGCGUAGGUGGCGUGGUAAGUCUGGUGUGAAAUCCCGGGGCUCAACCCCGGAACUGCACUGGAUACUGCCAUGCUUGAGUACUGGAGAGGAGAUUGGAAUUUACGGUGUAGCAGUGAAAUGCGUAGAUAUCGUAAGGAAGGCCAGUGGCGAAGGCGAAUCUCUGGACAGUUACUGACACUGAGGCACGAAGGCCAGGGGAGCAAACGGG
This 253-nucleotide ribosomal RNA is filed under the name uncultured bacterium. RNAcentral describes it as "partial 16S ribosomal RNA". It matches the Rfam family "Bacterial small subunit ribosomal RNA", at positions 524 to 776 of the family's 1533-position model. The record is from RNAcentral.